GAGAGAAAGAGAGAGAGAGAGAUAAGAUAAUUGUUCACAACAGAAAAUGAAUGAAAACGCAUCUUGUUUUUCUUGUUUGAUUUCAAAAUACAUACCCCACAAAUCCCUUAAAUUGAUAUAGAGGAUUUGUGAAGUAACAUUGCUGCCUAAUGAUUGAUAAGCAUUGAAAUUAUUUUACAAAUAGUAGUUUUGCAGCUAUCCUAUAUCAUCUUACGGAACAAAUAAAUUAAUGUGUUACUUACAAGUUAAUCCUUGAAAUUUAUCAAAAACCACAGGUCAGUUCCUGCAUUUCUUAUGAGAAACAAUUUAGGCCCUAAGGUUUCAUUCCG
This 329-nucleotide unclassified non-coding RNA is filed under the name Hevea brasiliensis (rubber tree). Lineage: Eukaryota; Viridiplantae; Streptophyta; Magnoliopsida; Malpighiales; Euphorbiaceae. The record is from RNAcentral.